GACGGAGGAUGCAAGCGUUAUCCGGAAUGAUUGGGCGUAAAGCGCGCGUAGGCGGACCUGCAAGUCGGGGGUGAAAGCCUGAGGCUCAACCUCGGAACUGCCUUCGAUACUGCGGGUCUCGAGUCCGGGAGAGGUGAGUGGAAUUCCUAGUGUAGAGGUGAAAUUCGUAGAUAUUAGGAAGAACACCAGUGGCGAAGGCGGCUCACUGGCUCGGUACUGACGCUGAGGUGCGAAAGCGUGGGGAGCAAACAGG
Molecule: ribosomal RNA, 253 nt
Filed under: uncultured bacterium
Lineage: Bacteria
Description: partial 16S ribosomal RNA
Rfam family: Bacterial small subunit ribosomal RNA
Source: RNAcentral